GAAAACUUGUACAGCUGUGUGGACUCCACGGGCCCAACACACCUUCAUCUGCUGUGGGAAGUCAACGGCUCUCAGCAGAUUGCACCUCUAAAUGUUUGGAGACAGUCUUGCUUCUCCCCGGCAUCUUACCAGGUUGCUUCUCCCCUGAACCCACACUUCUUUCACGCUGGUCCCUGAACUUAGCCUGGGACUUGUUAAUCUCAACUGUCAAUGUGACAAGGUCGCCAUGGAAGCGAACUUCUGGGAGAAACUGCAGCCUGCCUACUCAAGCCUCAAUCACCCUGCCCCCUGGUGCCCAGGGCAACCUGCAUGAGCACGCGCAUGCGCAUGCGCGGCAGGCAUCUCCUCCCUGAGCCAAGCCACCAAGCCUGACUCAAUGCCCAGAGAUGCUGACAGAGAGACACCUGACCCAGAGACACCAAUGAGGAAAGCAGAACGCAGCGGAGUCAGCUGCCUGAGCCAAUAGCACCUUGGGAGGGGGUAUAAAGCCAGGUCUAACUUAGUUAAUAAACGAGUCUGCGGAAUGCUCUGCUA
Molecule: long non-coding RNA, 534 nt
Organism: Mesocricetus auratus (golden hamster)
Lineage: Eukaryota; Metazoa; Chordata; Mammalia; Rodentia; Cricetidae
Exons: 3
Source: RefSeq, a predicted model, not a curated record